AUAGGGGGACGAACAGACGGAAACGACUGCUAUACCGAAUACGAUUAUUGAGUCGCAUGACACAAGGAAAGAAAGGGGUGGCCUCUACUUGUAAGCUAUCGCCUGAAGAGGGGUUUGCGUCCGAUUAGGUAGGUUGGUGAGGUAACGGCCCACCAAGCCGACGAUCGGUAGCCGGUCUGAGAGGAUGAACGGCCACAUUGAACUGAGACACGGUCAGACUCCUACGGAGGCAGCAGGA
The sequence is a ribosomal RNA, 238 nucleotides long. It matches the Rfam family "Bacterial small subunit ribosomal RNA", at positions 132 to 354 of the family's 1533-position model.